GACGAACGCUGGCGGCGUGCUUAACACAUGCAAGUCGAACGGAAAGGCCUGCUUUCCCUUGUGGAUUGCGGGUACUCGAGUGGCGAACGGGUGAGUAACACGUGAGUGAUCUGCCCCCAACUUGGGUAUAAGCCUGGGAAACUGGGUCUAAUUCCCGAUAGGACUGCAGGGUGGUGCCUGUGGUGGAAAACGAUUUUCUAGUUGUUGGGGAUGAGCUCGCGGCCUAUCAGCUUGUUGGUGGGGUAAUGGCCUACCAAGGCGGCGACGGGUAGCCGGCCUGAGAGGGUGGACGGCCACAUUGGGACUGAGAUACGGCCCAGACUCCUACGGGAGGCAGCAGUGGGGAAUAUUGCACAAUGGGCGGAAGCCUGAUGCAGCGACGCCGCGUGGGGGAUGACGGCCUUCGGGUUGUAAACUCCUUUCGACCGCGAGGAAGCCACCUGGUUGGAAGGGUGGUGACGGUAGUGGUAGAAGAAGCACCGGCUAACUACGUG
This 494-nucleotide ribosomal RNA is filed under the name uncultured bacterium. RNAcentral describes it as "partial 16S ribosomal RNA". It matches the Rfam family "Bacterial small subunit ribosomal RNA", at positions 28 to 507 of the family's 1533-position model. The record is from RNAcentral.